AGCCAGGAGGAUCUAUUACUCUGUCAAAGCUCCUCUCCCUCUGGGGGAACCUUGUCUGCUUUCAGUGUAGGGACUGCACCGGGUGACACUUUAAAAGGUUAGCAGGCAUUGUGACCUAGUGGACCAGACCUGCCCAUCUGAGGAGGGGAAACCCACCAUGUCAGUGUAAAGUAUGUUCACCCUGUUACCCGUUGACACCUGCUGAACAUUGACAUGUUAACAUGUAUAUUUGUGAAAUAAAGCUACAUUCUAUUUGGU
Molecule: long non-coding RNA, 258 nt
Organism: Trematomus bernacchii (emerald rockcod)
Lineage: Eukaryota; Metazoa; Chordata; Actinopteri; Perciformes; Nototheniidae
Exons: 3
Source: RefSeq, a predicted model, not a curated record